GAGUUUGAUCGUGGCUCAGAUUGAACGCUGGCGGCACGCCUUACACAUGCAAGUCGAACGGCAGCAUGAUCUAGCUUGCUAGAUUGAUGGCGAGUGGCGAACGGGUGAGUAAUACAUCGGAACGUGCCCUGUAGUGGGGGAUAACUAGUCGAAAGAUUAGCUAAUACCGCAUACGACCUGAGGGUGAAAGUGGGGGACCGCAAGGCCUCAUGCUAUAGGAGCGGCCGAUGUCUGAUUAGCUAGUUGGUGGGGUAAAGGCCCACCAAGGCGACGAUCAGUAGCUGGUCUGAGAGGACGAUCAGCCACACUGGGACUGAGACACGGCCCAGACUCCUACGGAGGCAGCAGUGGGGAAUUUUGGACAAUGGGCGAAAGCCUGAUCCAGCAAUGCCGCGUGUGUGAGAAGG
RNAcentral lists this ribosomal RNA (407 nucleotides) under uncultured microorganism. RNAcentral describes it as "bacterial SSU rRNA". It matches the Rfam family "Bacterial small subunit ribosomal RNA", at positions 9 to 413 of the family's 1533-position model. The record is from RNAcentral.